GGACAAGUCCGUCGGAGUGUGGUUAUUGUUGGAAGGGCAACCGACCAAUGAGGCCACCGUAAUCGUUCGGGGUGCCUUUAAUCGGGCGUCUCGGGCGGCCGACAUAGUUUACUUUGAACAAAUUAGAGUGCUCAAAGCAGGUGACUACCGCCUGAAUAGUACAGCAUGGAAUGAUGAAAGAGGACCUCGGUCUGAUUUUGCUGGUCUUUAACGGUCGGGCUUCGGCCCGGCCUAUGCAGACCCGAGGUAAUGGUCAAUAGAGACGGACGGGGGCAUCCGUACUGCGGCGACAGAGGUGAAAUUCUUGGACCGCCGCAAGACGAACGACAGCGAAGGCAUUUGCCAAGAAUGUUUUCCUUGAUCAAGAACGAAAGUUAGAGGUUCGAAGGCGAUCAGAUACCGCCCUAGUUCUAACCAUAAACGAUGCCAACUAGCGAUCUGCCGGUGUUACUCCCAUGACUCGGCGGGCAGCUUCCGGGAAACCAAAGUCUUUGGGUUCCGGGGGAAGUAUGGUUGCAAAGCUGAAACUUAAAGGAAUUGACGGAAGGGCACCACCAGGAGUGGAGCCUGCGGCUUAAUUUGACCCAACACGGGAAACCUCACCAGGCCCGGACACUGGAAGGAUUGACAGAUUGAGAGCUCUUUCUUGAUUCGGUGGGUGGUGGUGCAUGGCCGUUCUUAGUUGGUGGAGCGAUUUGUCUGGUUAAUUCCGAUAACGAACGAGACUCUAGCCUGCUAAAUAGGUGCCGGGUUUUUACAUCUCCUCGCAAGGGGAGAGUGGAGUGUGUGGUUGUCGGGAUCCUGGGCUGUGGUGGUCGUUUAGGCUGCGGGGGGCAACUCUCGUGGUCUGGGCGGCUGUCAUAGUUCACCCGGUGUACGCACACUUCGCGUCCGGCAUUUUUCUUCUUAGAGGGACAAGCGGCGUCCAGCCGCGUGACAGUGAGCAAUAACAGGUCUGUGAUGCCCUUAGAUGUCCUGGGCCGCACGCGCGCUACACUGAAGGAAUCAGCGUGUUAUUCAUCCCUGUCUGAAAAGACCGGGCAACCGCUGAACCUCCUUCGUGGUUGGGAUUGGGGACUGCAAUGAUCCCCAUGAACCAGGAAUCCCUAGUAGGCGCGGGUCACUAGCCCGCGUCGAUUACGUCCCUGCCCUUUGUACACACCGCCCGUCGCUACUACCGAUUGAAUGAUUUAGUGAGAACUUCAGACGGCUAUGUUUGUCCGGGGCAACCCGCGUCGAGCAGGGCUGAAAGAUGUUCAAACUUGAUCCUUUAGAGGAAGUAAAAGUCGUAACAAGG
This 1297-nucleotide ribosomal RNA is filed under the name metagenome. RNAcentral's name for it is "SSU rRNA". It matches the Rfam family "Eukaryotic small subunit ribosomal RNA", at positions 636 to 1799 of the family's 1831-position model. The record is from RNAcentral.